AUUGAACGCUGGUGGCAUGCUUUACACAUGCAAGUCGAACGGUAACAGCACUUCGGUGGCUGACGAGUGGCGAACGGGUGAGUAAUACAUCGGAACGUGCCUAGUAGUGGGGGAUAACUACUCGAAAGAGUAGCUAAUACCGCAUGAGAUCUAAGGAUGAAAGCAGGGGACCUUCGGGCCUUGCGCUACUAGAGCGGCUGAUGGCAGAUUAGGUAGUUGGUGGGAUAAAAGCUUACCAAGCCGACGAUCUGUAGCUGGUCUGAGAGGACGACCAGCCACACUGGGACUGAGACACGGCCCAGACUCCUACGGGAGGCAGCAGUGGGGAAUUUUGGACAAUGGGGGCAAACCUGAUCCAGCAAUGCCGCGUGCAGGAUGAAGGCCUUCGGGUUGGAAACUGCUUUUGUACGGAACGAAAAGCCCUCUUCUAAUACAGGAGGGUCAUGACGGUACCGUAAGAAUAAGCACCGGCUAACUACGUG
Molecule: ribosomal RNA, 482 nt
Filed under: uncultured bacterium
Lineage: Bacteria
Description: partial 16S ribosomal RNA
Rfam family: Bacterial small subunit ribosomal RNA
Source: RNAcentral